RNAcentral lists this transfer RNA (72 nucleotides) under Camelus bactrianus (Bactrian camel). It matches the Rfam family "tRNA". Rfam says of the family: Transfer RNA (tRNA) molecules are approximately 80 nucleotides in length. Their secondary structure includes four short double-helical elements and three loops (D, anti-codon, and T loops). RNAcentral also lists the same sequence under 2 other names. Lineage: Eukaryota; Metazoa; Chordata; Mammalia; Artiodactyla; Camelidae. The record is from Rfam by way of RNAcentral.
GGGGUUAUAGCUCAGUGAUAAAGCGCAUGCUUAGCAUGCACGAGGUCCUGGGUUCAAUCCCCAGUACCUCCA